UGAGGAAUCUUACGCAAUGGGGGCAACCCUGACGCAGCAACGCCGCGUGAGUGAGGAAGGUCUUCGGAUCGUAAAGCUCUGUCAGUUGGGAAGAAUAGGCGUGGGAGGGAAUGCCCGCGUGAUGACAUGAACCGGCGAAUAAGCCCCGGCCAACUACGUGCCAGCAGCCGCGGUAAUACGUAGGGAGCGAGCGUUGUCCGGAAUUACUGGGCGUAAAGGGUGCGUAGGUGGCUUGGCAAGUCAGAUGUGAAAUCCCCGGGCUUAACUCGGGUGCUGCAUUUGAAACUGCUGGGCUUGAGUGCAGGAGAGGAAAGCGGAAUUCCUAGUGUAGCGGUGAAAUUCGUAGAUAUCAGGAGGAACACCGGUGGCGAAGGCGACUUUCUGGCCCUAUACUGGCGCUGAGACGCGAAAGCGUGGGUAGCGAACA
Molecule: ribosomal RNA, 427 nt
Filed under: uncultured prokaryote
Description: bacterial SSU rRNA
Rfam family: Bacterial small subunit ribosomal RNA
Source: RNAcentral